Leopardus geoffroyi (Geoffroy's cat) is the source of this 481-nucleotide long non-coding RNA. RefSeq lists it as uncharacterized. The record is from RefSeq and is a predicted model, not a curated record. Lineage: Eukaryota; Metazoa; Chordata; Mammalia; Carnivora; Felidae. The transcript is spliced from 2 exons.
GCGCACGUGGACCUGGGUGCUGGCGCUGGGCUGAAGGGCCCCAGACACCACCACCCAGCCAAUGGGCGCAGGACGCCUUGCACAGUGAAUAAUGGAAGGGUGGGGAGGGGACGUAAGCUCCCCUUCUCAGGGAAAAUGCCUGGGCCGCGGUAGGUGCUUAAAGAUGUCUGCUUCCUGAACUGUCCAACCCAGCACAGCAGGACACCUUGGCCUUGCCAGAGGAUGCAGCCACCCACAGUUAGGGCUGCCCCAAAAGUGGGGGCCAGGAAGCCAGGACUAUAGGGAACAAAGCCGGUGGCUAAGCGAUCAAGGGGGACCCCACAGACACACAGGUGAAGUGGCAAGGGCUUCAGAUCCCCACCACUAGGACAAGAGAAAGCCAAAGACCUCGUCUGCCACCUCUCUGUAUUCCCCAGAACCCCAGGACUGGACCUGACACAUGGUAGAUGAUCAAUAAACAUGGUGAUUUUAUUGUUGUUAA